UUGAUUCUGUCCAGAACUCACGCCAAACAUUUCCAGUUGCAUCACGUCCUGAUUUCUCUGAGCCAAGUUCCUUGUGACCAAGCUCAUCAGCAGCCUCCCAAAACUUCUCUUGCCACUCAAGAGCUUCGUCCGCACUAACACCUCUGGUCAUUGUCCACCUGCAUACAACACCAUCAGGUCUCUGCUCGAUUCCUGUCUCCUUCCACCACCUUGAACCGUCAGGAUUAAUUCCCCGAGUUGCUAAUUCAUCAACUUUGUCAAGAGCAUGAGCUGCUUCUGCUGCAUGUGCCGAGAACAAAGCACCAAGGUCACGUUCCUCUUCCAAGGAAGGAGUCUCCAGAUUGGUCUCAGAAACUUCUUCUUUUUCAACCCCAAGCAGUGACUGAAAAGGGAGAAGAAGAGGGUCGGGUUUGGGUUCUGAAAGUUUACUCUCAAAUGGAAUUGGAAGAAUGUCCACGGAUCGUGCUUUCUCCACAACUGGGUUAACUGGAGUUGGAUACACAGAAGAUUUUUCAGCCAUCUGCAAGUCUCUAACAUCACGCAUAUCUCUGUCAUCGUCUUCAGGAGGUGACCAGGACCAAAAAUCCGGACCUGGUGCUGGUGUUCUAUUUCCAGGAGUUCCUGAACGAGGCACGAAGAUUCCUGCACUUAGUGCUCCUGAUGAAUCUGAAGAUCAUUAAAAAGAAUUCUGUGAAGGAAUAGGAAACAUGCUGUAAACUACUUUACCUAGAUCUUAACCAAAAGCAACAAAUUGGUAUCCAAUAUUCCAACCAUAGGCAAGAGCCACUUUGAUAAAUCAUUGAUUAUACGUAUGUACCCCAGAUCUUGCAGUAAUAUUAAUCAUUUUUUUCUUUAAAAAGAAAAAAAAAAUCUUUUCACCUUUUUUUUCUGCCAACCAAGAACUCAAACCUAUAACAUCGACAAUAUCAACAGUAAACACUUGUUUUUUGAUGAAACAGAACAUAUCACUUGAUAAUCCAAAGAACAUCAAUAUCUACACAUCUAAAUAAUUCGUUUUAACAAAUUUAAAAUUCAAAUUCACAAAGACAAAAGUUUUGAACUUUACCUCUUUCUGGAACCUCAGCUGUUCCAUUACUCUCACUGUUCUUCACAAAUGGUGAGAUCUCAGCUGCUCC
Molecule: long non-coding RNA, 1136 nt
Filed under: Citrus sinensis (sweet orange)
Lineage: Eukaryota; Viridiplantae; Streptophyta; Magnoliopsida; Sapindales; Rutaceae
Description: long non-coding RNA (CSIN_LNC003800)
Source: RNAcentral